This 412-nucleotide unclassified non-coding RNA is filed under the name Hevea brasiliensis (rubber tree). Lineage: Eukaryota; Viridiplantae; Streptophyta; Magnoliopsida; Malpighiales; Euphorbiaceae. The record is from RNAcentral.
GAAAGACCAAAGGAUAAAAUUCAAUUAAUUCUUGCAAAACAGAAUGUAAUCAUCCAUCCUACAAACACCAGUCUUUUCUCAUUAUGAGGUUUGAGAAUCAAAAUUUAUAAACAUCACAAAGAUGAAAACUUUUGAAGCAGUAACUCCUCAGCCUAAAAUAACUAAAGUCGUCGUCAUCUACUUCUCGGAAGAGUUUGGUCCUCUCUUCUUUCCAAAGCCAACAACAGCAGUGACGAAUCUGCGAUUGUAUUGCAUACGCUUGUGUGCACGUCCUCUUGGCUUCUUCUUCUUAUCCUGCUUUGCAACCUUUGGUGUUUGCCCCCUAACCUUACCGGCACGAGCAAGUGAUCCGUGAACCUUACCCAUGGUUGAUUUCUGAGUCGCCGGUCGUCGGAGAAGCUGCUAAUCGUUU